RNAcentral lists this long non-coding RNA (1017 nucleotides) under Brassica napus (rape). Its description in RNAcentral is "long non-coding RNA (BNAP_LNC004386)". Lineage: Eukaryota; Viridiplantae; Streptophyta; Magnoliopsida; Brassicales; Brassicaceae. The record is from RNAcentral.
AGAAAUUAGAUUUUGGGAGAAAGAGUAGAGAGAGAUAGAAAAAAAAAGUAGAAAAUAUGGGGGGAAUUUGGUUAGAUUUUUAAUUUUGUUUUUUUUUUUAGCUAUUUGGCCUAAUUUCCCAAAAUAUAAUCACCUCCUCACCAGAGAAGAGGCUAAAAACCUGUGCUCAAGUUCUCUCUCUUUUCUCCUAGAGAGAGAAUUUUCUCUCGUUUCUUCCUUCCUCUUACCACACACCCAUCUUUCAGAGGGAAAGAAACGGAGACUUUUUGGUGUAAAAUAUGGUUUUUAAUGUUCUGAGGAUGCGAUCAGAUCCUCUGUUUCGGCUUUGUCCAAUUAAAAUUUUCCGUUGCGGAUUUUGAUUCGGUUUUGUCCAAUUUUGUUGUGUGUAAAGCUCUUCUCCUUCUGUUUUCACCUUCAAUCCAUCUGUCCAAAGGAUUGAUGUUCCCUUUAUUAGAAAAGCUCAACUCUUGAUUUGGAAUUGGAAUCAAUCUUCGCAUAUGAGAAAGUGAAGUAUCCAUGAAAGUCAAGAUUAGAGGGUUAGAAGAUACUAGAGAGAUUUCGAAGCAGGAAUAGAAAAGUCGGAGCUGCCGUUCAGGCUAGUGUUCCAACAAUGUUCUGUCUCGGGUCUUUUGAAGUUCUUCGCUGGAUUUAAUUCUAAUGGAUGGAAAAGAAGUCCUUGUUGAACGGGAGGCGAUCGAAGGAGAUUGGAGCGAGCAAGCAGUUUCAAGAGAGUCGGAGAUGGUGAGCGUGAUCGGCCGGCCAGAGUUAAGGCGACGUUUCUCUUUCUUCGAUUCAGGAAGCGGUGGAGUCUCAAAAGAGGACACGUGUUGUAUACGUGGUACUCAUGUGCAUCAUGUUUAUCUGUAGGUUUGGGCUCAAGUUGGGCUGAAUGUAUUCUAUGAAAGUCUUGAACUGCUUGUAAAUGUGCCCUUUGGGGCUUCGUUUUAUAAAACGAAAUGUUGACAAAAAAAAAAAGAGGCUAAAAUCGAAAUCACUACAUACUGAUACUUAAUUUCA